Molecule: small RNA, 292 nt
Filed under: Otolemur garnettii (small-eared galago)
Lineage: Eukaryota; Metazoa; Chordata; Mammalia; Primates; Galagidae
Description: Metazoan signal recognition particle RNA (ENSOGAG00000033861.1)
Source: RNAcentral
GCCGGGUGUUGUGGCGGGCGCCUGUGGUCCCAGCUACUUGGGAGGCAGAGGCAGGAGACUGGCUUGAGCCCAGGAGUUGGAGGUUGCUGUGAGCUGUAAUGCCACGGCCCUCUACCCAGGGGGACAGCUUGAGGCUUUGUCUCAAAAAAAAAAAAAAAAAAGAACGUAGGCUGACUUACUGACAGAACUCAAGUUGGUUUUUUUUGAGUCUCAAGCUGUUGCCCUGGGUAGAGUGUCAGGGUAUCAUAGCUCACAGCAACCUCCAACUCUUAGGUCCAAGUGAUCCUCUUGC